Molecule: long non-coding RNA, 3317 nt
Organism: Mya arenaria
Lineage: Eukaryota; Metazoa; Mollusca; Bivalvia; Myida; Myidae
Exons: 2
Source: RefSeq, a predicted model, not a curated record
UCAUCCGUCCCCGGGAAAAGCGUAUGGAGGCGGCAGGUUCACAGGACGCUUGAGAACCGCCCCUGAGGGCGAGCUGCUAUGUAGGAUGUUAAAGGCGGCGUUCAGGGGAGGGUUGAUGUUCAUCGUGGAGAAGGAAGGAAAAGUUGUCCUGGAUGGCGUCUCAUUGUAUGAUUAUUCAGUGUACGCCCGAGAUUACAUUGACUACACCCGGACAUUGAAAGCGGAACUGGCAGCCAAAGGCAUCACAGAGGCGAACACAGAUCAGGAAGAAAAGCUGGUAGAGACUUUUACUGUCGAUGGUUGGUAGCUUUCGUCAGUCUUAUGAUACCGAUAGUCUUACUCCAAAUGACAAUGUACUUUUUCAUAUGUAUUAAUGUUCUGUUUACAUGGUAUCUUUCUCUCUACCAUCUAUUUCACCGUUGUGUCUUUAUAGAGUUGAGUUUUGAACUGCUUGUCUACUAUGGAGUAGGGAUGGUUAAUUCACAUGAAGGAAUGAAUUUGUUUCAAUACACACGAUUAAUUAUUUUCGUUCAGAUUACAUAGGAUAAUUUCAACAUCGUGAAAUAUAUGUAUUGUAUGGAUAUAUAUCGUCCACAAAGUGUUAAACACGAAACAGUAUUUCAUGAUUAAUGUAGUACCUUUGUUUUAAUAUCGGUUGACAGUUUUAGAUAAUACAAUAUGAUAAUAAGUAAGCAGACAAGGCAAUGUCCAAGUUCAUGUUUUUCACUUUUAUGAUAACAUUUCAUUUAUAAUGUUUAAUAACUUCAAGUUCGAAGUCGCACUGAGUUCUGUAAUGAUAUGAUAGCAAGUUAACAUACAAAAGAAUAAAAGAGGCGCAUGUUGAACCAGACGGAAACUUGGAAAUAGACGUUCUCGGUCGAUUGGCCUGUAUACCGUCGUGGUUACCUGUUGUGGAUAUUGUAUCUUCAAAUGAACUCGUGUUAAAAAUGAAAUUUUCGUGUUGUAUAAGAUGUUUACGUAGUUGUUUAAAAAAUCAAAGGACAUAAUUUGAAAUGUUUUUAACUUUGGUAAGAACCUCUACAUUUUAUGGUCAUUUUAUUUGUAUGUAAAUAAACGUUGAGACGAGUAAUAUUCCAUUGGAAGAGUAAUUGGAAGCCAUAUGUCGGAGUAAUUUGCUGAAGACGACAUAACAAGCAUGAACAAUGCAUACAGUGUAAAUAAUAUCUUAUAUUUUUUAAGUUAGGUUUUAUCCUUGUGCCUCUUAAAACAUAAUUCGUUAUUUUGAUGCAAGCUUAUAUUCCCUUGUAUUUCCAUUGUAUGUGUCGGAUGAAUGUUAAACAUUAUGCUUUUAUUCAUUCCACUUUAUAACUAAUACUGUUUUGCUAUAACUGUGUUUCCUUGAUGCCUAUGUUCAAUAAUACUUUGUCUUUAUCAGGGGUUUAUAUGUAAUAUAUAGUUUUAGAAUGUUAUAAUUGCCCAUGCGAAAUACGUGCGUGUUGUUUUAUUUUUCAUUUUAAAAUGUUUUGAUGUUAACAAUUUAGGUUAAAUAUUUCAUAUUCCUUACAUCUACCCACGUAGAAGACGUUUAUUACAGCAAACAUAUCGGACAUGCCACGAUUGGCCCGCUUAAAACGCUUACAUUUAAAAAACAACAACACAGUUUUAUAUAAAGGAUACUUUAAGAACUAUGGCUUUAAUGUUAGAGGGGGGACUUGGGGGCAAACUCAGAAGAAUAUCCAAUAAACGAAUCAACAACCGGCUAUAUUAGAACAUUUCCAUAUGAGGCAUGAGCCUUGGGCAAGCAUUGAAAGUAGCUGCAAACCGUCAGAACUUGAACACGAAUGGUACUAUAACAACAUGUAAUGUUAUAUUUGUUCUUCUUAAACUAAUUGUAUAAUGUGUAAUAAUAAGUGUAGUCAUUAAAAACAUACGCAUCAGAGUCAUCAGGAUGGAUGCUAGAGUUUAUACUUGUGUCGAACCUGUGGUUUGCUGAUAAACGUGACCACUUCUUAUAAUUCAAUUUGCAAUGUAUAUAUAUAUAUAUAGGUCGAUGAAAUUAACUUCAAACUUAAAAAUAAAGCGAGCAAAUAUUACUGCAAAUUAUACAUUUUAGGGAAGUUUGUACGGAACACUAUACAGAAAUGAAAAUUUUCUAAAAAGAAAAGUGCUGAAAAAUAGGUUAAACUCUUUUUUUGCUCUGCCCUUAUUGAAUAAAAGUCUCUAUUUAUCCAACAUGCACACUUCAUAACCCUCAGUACCGUUUAAGGGCAUCAUGAACGCCUCUAUAUUCAUAUCCACAAUUUAUGACCCUCUUAACCAGUAUCGGUAGUUCAUAUCUGAUGUUAUAUAAUUUAGACCGGCUCCACUUAAAUAAAAUGUAGAUCGAUUCUUUUAGGUCAGCGAUAGCUAUUCGUCAAAUAAACAGCCUGUAAUUCGUUAAGUUUGUUUAUAAAUAAUUCAGGCUGAUAACGCUUCUUGUCAUAAAUACACACAGUUGCUAUAAUGUAAGGUGAUAAAGUAAUAAAUGUUCUUUUACAUGCACAUGUAAAAUGUUUUCUCAUACACGUUUUCAUUAAAAUGAACACUCCAAAACACUACAUAUCCUUUAAAUUGACAAACAUCCAAAAACGUUUUAUAUAACGAUCAUAUCUAAUUUUGAUAAAUAGUUUUGUAAUAAGUUUGGAGUUGAUAUUUUUAUAAAACACGUAUGUUGUUCUGUCAUUAAAAAGACGACACACAGAAAUACUAGGAGUACAAAACCGAGGUAUUAAAAUGCAUACGUACAUUUCCAUAUCAAAGUGUUUUGAUGAAAUAAUGAUGUGCUAGUGAUUCAGUUCCGUAAAAUGACAAUCCAUUGUGUUCCUUCUCGAAAUGUGUUACCAUUGUUUCGAAAAUAUUACGCUUCGUUUUGAUCCCCAACCCGUUGUGACCGUUCAAUUGCAUAUUUCUUUGGAAUCGUAUAGUCCCUGAACAAGUUCUACUUUGUCAGAUUUCAUCAAAUUCUAAGAAUGCACUCUUACUCUCAAACAGGAUUUACCGGAAUAAGUAAAAAUGUUCCAAAAUACCAAAAGAGAUAAAUUAAUGUCAAAAGCAAUGGUCCAUACGAAGCAUACCGAGAUCAUAUUUAAAGAAAGGUGCAGAAAACACGGUAUUGCUACCUUAUGUGAGAUAUGGUAUAACAGUAAAUCUUUUAGCACUCACCAAUCAGUUAUUAUUUUUGCAACUUAUUUACCUAAUAAAUACAUGGUCACAAUUUUGUUAUCAGUUAUUCAUAUUUUUGAUAAUUUUACUACUCAAAAUGUAUGUUUGUAUACAUGUGUUUGUAUUGAUUUUGAAUAAAUGUGCCUCUUAAAAUA